GUGGAUUAGAUACCCUGGUAGUCCACGCAGUAAACGAUGAAUACUAGCUGUAUGCGAUAUACUGUAUGCGGCACAGCGAAAGCGUUAAGUAUUCCACCUGGGGAGUACGUUCGCAAGAAUGAAACUCAAAGGAAUUGACGGGGGCCCGCACAAGCGGAGGAACAUGUGGUUUAAUUCGAUGAUACGCGAGGAACCUUACCCGGGCUUGAAAUGUAGAGGAAUUACUUGGUAACAGGUACGCCAGCAAUGGUCUCUAUGUAGGUGCUGCACGGCUGUCGUCAGCU
This 284-nucleotide ribosomal RNA is filed under the name uncultured bacterium. RNAcentral describes it as "partial 16S ribosomal RNA". It matches the Rfam family "Bacterial small subunit ribosomal RNA", at positions 773 to 1060 of the family's 1533-position model. The record is from RNAcentral.